AGGGUUUGAUUCAUGGCUCAGUAUUGAACGUUGGCGGCACGCCUAAUACAUGCAAGUCGAACGAGAAAGCAUUUCGGUGCGAGUACAGUGGCGGACGGGUGAGUAACGCGUAGGAAUCUACCUAGUAGUGGGGGACAACUCGGGGAAACUCGAGCUAAUACCGCAUACGCUCUAUGGAGGAAAGUGGGGGACCUUUGGGCCUCACGCUAUUAGAGGAGCCUGCGUUAGAUUAGCUAGUUGGUGAGGUAAGGGCUCACCAAGGCUACGAUCUAUAGCUGGUCUGAGAGGACGAUCAGCCACACUGGAACUGAGACACGGUCCAGACUCCUACGGGAGGCAGCAGUAGGGAAUCUUGGGCAAUGGGCGAAAGCCUGACCCAGCGAUGCCGCGUGUGCGAAGAAGGCCUUAGGGUUGUAAAGCACUUUCAGUUGCGAAGAAAAGCUGCGAUCUAAUAAAUCGCGGUCUUGACGUUAACAACAGAAGAAGUACCGGCUAACUCCGUGCCAGCAGCCGCGGUAAUACGGAGGGUACGAACGUUAAUCGGAAUUACUGGGCGUAAAGCGCGCGUAGGCGGUUUGAUAAGUGGGAUGUGAAAGCCCCGGGCUUAACCUGGGAACUGCAUUCCAAACUGUCAGACUAGAGUGUGGUAGAGGGAGGUAGAAUUUCCUGUGUAGCGGUGAAAUGCGUAGAUAUAGGAAGGAAUACCGAUGGCGAAGGCAGCCUCCUGGACCAACACUGACGCUGAGGCGCGAAAGCGUGGGGAGCAAACAGGAUUAGAUACCCUGGUAGUCCACGCCGUAAACGAUGAGAACUAGCCGUUGGGGCCUU
Molecule: ribosomal RNA, 828 nt
Filed under: uncultured bacterium
Lineage: Bacteria
Description: bacterial SSU rRNA
Rfam family: Bacterial small subunit ribosomal RNA
Source: RNAcentral